This 345-nucleotide long non-coding RNA is filed under the name Ananas comosus (pineapple). RNAcentral's name for it is "long non-coding RNA (ACOM_LNC016670)". The record is from RNAcentral. Lineage: Eukaryota; Viridiplantae; Streptophyta; Magnoliopsida; Poales; Bromeliaceae.
AAACAGGAACAAUUGUCAACAACGAUUGCAUAAGGAAGGUAUCAAACAACAUAACACAUCCUAUAUUAUUACAAUAAUUCAUCUCAUCAUUUUACAUCGCAUUUUUUCAUUACAUUGAUUCUCAACUUCCAAAUAUACAAUCGAUUUCUAAACAUAAUAUUACAACAUCGAUUCUUUUCUUUUCUUUUCUUAUACCCCUAAGAAGCCGACUCAGGGUGCUGCUAUCUGGUCUCUGUGGUAGGGCGCUAACUACGGAGCUACGCCCUUUCCUCGCGCCGCCGCGCCGCUCGCGUGUGAACCUGUACCCCCAAAAACAACAACACGGGGGUGAGACUAUUGUCCAUA